ACGAACGCUGGCGGCGUGCCUCAUACAUGCCAGUAGAACGCUGAAGAGAGGAGCUUGCUCUUCUUGGAUGAGUUGCGAACGGGUGAGUAACGCGUAGGUAACCUGCCUUGUAGCGGGGGAUAACUAUUGGAAACGAUAGCUAAUACCGCAUAACAAUGGAUGACACAUGUCAUUUAUUUGAAAGGGGCAAUUGCUCCACUACAAGAUGGACCUGCGUUGUAUUAGCUAGUAGGUGAGGUAAUGGCUCACCUAGGCGACGAUACAUAGCCGACCUGAGAGGGUGAUCGGCCACACUGGGACUGAGACACGGCCCAGACUCCUACGGGAGGCAGCAGUAGGGAAUCUUCGGCAAUGGGGGCAACCCUGACCGAGCAACGCCGCGUGAGUGAAGAAGGUUUUCGGAUCGUAAAGCUCUGUUGUAAGUCAAGAACGGGUGUGAGAGUGGAAAGUUCACACUGUGACGGUAGCUUACCAGAAAGGGACGGCUAACUACGUG
RNAcentral lists this ribosomal RNA (496 nucleotides) under uncultured bacterium. RNAcentral describes it as "partial 16S ribosomal RNA". It matches the Rfam family "Bacterial small subunit ribosomal RNA", at positions 29 to 507 of the family's 1533-position model. The record is from RNAcentral.